This 786-nucleotide long non-coding RNA is filed under the name Mus caroli (Ryukyu mouse). RNAcentral describes it as "predicted gene 12352 (MGP_CAROLIEiJ_G0002697.1)". Lineage: Eukaryota; Metazoa; Chordata; Mammalia; Rodentia; Muridae. The record is from RNAcentral.
CAAGCUUCCAAGAAUCAUUUCUUAGUCACAGGAUGACACAGGGAGGCCGGCUGUUGGUGAUCUUUUCUACAGGUUCUCCAUUGCUGGCUCUUCGGAUGGCUUCCAUGAGCUAGCGGACAGAGACACGAGCGAGUGUCGUGCACAGGAGAGGAGGGUGUGUCUCGUCUCAGCCACCCUCCCGAGGUACAUUAAAUACUCACGUCUUUCUCGUAAGGAAAGCCCCCAUUCUCCAGCUUGGAGAACACUAGCUGUCCAUUGAUCUCAAUCUCGAAGGCCCCUGGUAGGAUAUAAAUGCAAGAAUGAGCUAAGAACAACAAGCAGGAGUUCAGGGAGGUCCUUGGCACCACCGCGAGUCCAAGCAAGACUGUUCAUGGUCUCGGCAGACACCAUUCGAGACCCGGUUUUCAGAUCCGAUCCAUUGAAGCCAUUCAGCCCCAAAACCCAGAGUCCUCACCAAUGCGUCUUUCCAAUACGCCAUUAAGAGUUCCUUCACUCCAAACCCACAGUAGGCAUUUUCGCUAUGUGUCAGACUCUAUUAGGGGCUUUAUAUAUAACAGCCAAUGUCAGCUCUAGAAGGUAGGGAGAGCUGGAGUUUUAUCACAUGGACUGACUCAGCAGGUGCUCUGCGGACCUCACCUGUCCCCCCGAGUCGCGACUCAAUCUCGAUGCCCGGAUACUCCUCCUUCACAGCGCUCGCCAGCUCCAGGGCUGCUUCCGGGUGUGACGCCACGCCAAAGUCACGUGGGGGGCGUGUCCGCGGGCGUGUCCGGACCUCGCAUUGCGUCG